CUUCCCAAUUUUCUUAUGGUCUGCUGUGGAUGGCCCAAUUUGCUUCCACAGCCGCCGGAGCUCAACAUCACAGCCACCAGAAAAAAAUUGACUCUACUGCUAUGGUUAUGCCGAUGCAGGGCACUGAAAAAUCUAUCAUUUUUCAGUCUCUUAACUCCGGCGACCAUAAGCAGUGCUCCCUCGUGUGCCGUCGGUGGCUCCAGAUUGAAGGACAGAUCCGACACCGUCUCUUGCUGCGCGCUCAGAUAGAGCUCGCCACCGCGGUUCCUUCAAUUUUUUUUCGCGAUUCAAUUCGGUCACGAAGCUCGCGUUGAAAUGCGACCACAGAUCUGUAAGUAUCGGAGGCGCUGCAUUUCAUUGAGUGUUUUGAUUAGCAUCGCCACCAGCUUCCCUCAAGUCAUCCUCACUGCCGCCUCUUUUCACGAAAACCGGCCUCUUGUAAUAUGAUUGGGAGAGAGGCAAGGGCAGUGUACAAUGGAGGUCAAACUUUGGGGCUCACGUUCUGGACACCAAUAUGUAGAGACCCCAGUCCUGGAGAGGUUUGUUUUCUUCUUCAAGUAAUUAAUUUUAUUUGUUGUUAACUACUGUACUGAAGGUGAUUGGGAGAGAUGCAAGGGCGGUGUACAAUGGAGGUCUGUACUCAUCUGACCAAUUCGACCUCACUCAGGAAAACGUCGACAAGGUUCUCGAGGACGUUCUCCCUUACCUCAUCGCCGACAGUGGAAAUGUUGAUGCAGAGUGUCUGUCAAGAACGACGCCAUUUCUCUCCAGCUUCAAGAUCCUUUCAUGAGUUAUCUAUCUCUCUUCUUCAUUCUUCAAUUUUCUUUUUUGGUAUGCCAAACUAUAAAAUUGAAUCAUUUCUCACUUCCAUAUUCCUCUUAUUCGUGAUUC
Molecule: RNA transcript, 891 nt
Organism: Ipomoea triloba (trilobed morning glory)
Lineage: Eukaryota; Viridiplantae; Streptophyta; Magnoliopsida; Solanales; Convolvulaceae
Gene name: probable beta-D-xylosidase 6
Exons: 2
Source: RefSeq, a predicted model, not a curated record